GAAUAUGUAAAAAUUCAUUUAUACAUAGAAGACUCGUUCAGGCAACCACCGAGAAGAGAUGGCAUGAUCUGGAGACAUCGUACAUGCAUGCCACCUAUUAAUCUACUUGAAGAAGUAUGGGAGGUCGAGCACGUAGAGGAGGAAGUAUGCCCAGACGGCGCCGGAUACACCGCCGAAGAAGAAGCCUCCGGUGAACUGCGACCACCCUUCGGCGGUCUGGAGCUUGUCGGCCUCCUUCUUGCGUCCGGUGAGGGUGAGCACCGGCGCGGUGGACGGCUCGCCCUCGUUGAAGGAGGCGACGCCGUACAUGGUGAGGCAGACGCUGAGGAUGGAGACGAGUCCGAUGGCGCCGAGUGUGCCGGCCUGUCCGUGCACGGGCGUGUUGCGGAGCGGGCCAGUGAGCGCGAAGGGGCCGACGAGGAGGUAGCCAUGGGCGAGGCCGACCUCGAUGCCGCGGAGGAGCGGGCUGACGGCGGUGCGGUAGGCGGGGAGGUUGGAGAGGUACCACGCGACGAGGGGGCUGGAGGUGACCGGCGUCUCCAGGCUGCCGAUGAACGGGUCGCCGUUGAUGGGCUGGACCACUUGGUACGUCGGCUGAGAGGAAACACCAAAACAUGUAUGAGAUGCAAAGCAAGGCCUACAACAAGCUAAACCCUACUUGUAUCCCACAAAUUGUGGUUUGUUUUGGAUGAAUAAAUCUCUGUUCGUCCUAAAAAACAACACGCUAAACCUUAAUUUUAGCUCUCUCUUGCAUGCAAUUGCAAGUUUGCGACUGACCUUGUCAGACUUGACAGCCUUGACGACGAAGCGGGGCCUCCGGGUGAGCGAAGCGCCGGACAUGCCCCGCGGCUUGGAGCACGCCAAGCCGCUCUUCAUCACCUGGCUCGCCAUGGGAGGAGCAUAUGCAGUGGCCAUCUCGAUGUCCUCCUUCGACUCCCACACGCUCAACUCUGCUCUGCCUGCAGCGUCAAAUGGAUGGAUGUGUUACAAGAAGAAGAUCUGUCCAGAUGGCAAGAUGUUUUAGUGGCUCCAAGGGAGAGGGG
RNAcentral lists this long non-coding RNA (1043 nucleotides) under Hordeum vulgare. RNAcentral's name for it is "long non-coding RNA (HVUL_LNC006305)". Lineage: Eukaryota; Viridiplantae; Streptophyta; Magnoliopsida; Poales; Poaceae. The record is from RNAcentral.